AACCGUUUAGGCGUAGUAGCGUUAUAGGUUUAGGACCUGGAGGAGAUUAUAUCAAACGAUA
Molecule: transfer RNA, 61 nt
Filed under: Hirondellea gigas
Lineage: Eukaryota; Metazoa; Arthropoda; Malacostraca; Amphipoda; Lysianassidae
Description: tRNA-Leu
Source: RNAcentral